AAGAAAACUCCCAAGCCAUAAGUGAUGGUCAUUUAUUAUGGCAAGCUGACGGAGAUGUUCCGGGUUUCGAACUAUCAACUUUAUAAUGCAUAUGCAUGGUCCAAACUGUUCUCACGACAAAGUGGACAAAAACAAUGGAGGCUAUGGAUAUGUUUCAGCUGCUCAAGAUCCUAACAUGUAUCCUAACCAAGGCUAUGUCGGUCCUGGAUAUGCACUUGGGAACUGUAAUCAAGUCUCGCAUCCCAGGCCUCCAGUCGAUAAUUAAUAAAAGUAUUGCUGAACUAGAGGCGG
Molecule: long non-coding RNA, 291 nt
Organism: Papaver somniferum (opium poppy)
Lineage: Eukaryota; Viridiplantae; Streptophyta; Magnoliopsida; Ranunculales; Papaveraceae
Exons: 3
Source: RefSeq, a predicted model, not a curated record